UACGUGGGGAGCAAGCGUUGUUCGGAUUUACUGGGCGUAAAGGGCGCGUAGGCGGCGCAACAAGUCACUUGUGAAAUCUCCGGGCUUAACUCGGAAAGGUCAAGUGAUACUGUUGUGCUAGAGUGCGGAAGGGGCAACUGGAAUUCUCGGUGUAGCGGUGAAAUGCGUAGAUAUCGAGAGGAACACCUGCGGCGAAGGCGGGUUGCUGGGCCGACACUGACGCUGAUGCGCGAAAGCCAGGGGAGCAAACGGG
Molecule: ribosomal RNA, 253 nt
Filed under: uncultured bacterium
Lineage: Bacteria
Description: partial 16S ribosomal RNA
Rfam family: Bacterial small subunit ribosomal RNA
Source: RNAcentral